UGGGGAAUAUUGGGCAAUGGGCGAAAGCCUGACCCAGCAACGCCGCGUGAAGGAAGAAGGUCUUCGGAUUGUAAACUUCUUUUAUGAGGGACGAAGGACGUGACGGUACCUCAUGAAUAAGCCACGGCUAACUACGUGCCAGCAGCCGCGGUAAUACGUAGGUGGCAAGCGUUAUCCGGAUUUACUGGGUGUAAAGGGCGCGUAGGCGGGGAUGCAAGUCAGAUGUGAAAUCUAUGGGCUCAACCCAUAAACUGCAUUUGAAACUGUAUCUCUUGAGUGCUGGAGAGGUAGAUGGAAUUCCUUGUGUAGCGGUGAAAUGCGUAGAUAUAAGGAAGAACACCAGUGGCGAAGGCGAUCUACUGGACAGUAACUGACGCUGAGGCGCGAGAGCGUGGGGAGCAAACAGGAUUAAAUACCC
RNAcentral lists this ribosomal RNA (418 nucleotides) under uncultured bacterium. RNAcentral describes it as "bacterial SSU rRNA". It matches the Rfam family "Bacterial small subunit ribosomal RNA", at positions 355 to 787 of the family's 1533-position model. The record is from RNAcentral.